Molecule: RNase P RNA, 360 nt
Filed under: Gracilimonas sp.
Lineage: Bacteria; Pseudomonadati; Balneolota; Balneolia; Balneolales; Balneolaceae
Description: RNase P RNA component class A
Rfam family: Bacterial RNase P class A
About the family: Ribonuclease P (RNase P) is a ubiquitous endoribonuclease, found in archaea, bacteria and eukarya as well as chloroplasts and mitochondria.
Source: RNAcentral
CAGGAAAGCCGGGUAAUCGCUUCGUACAUUCAUUGUAUGGGGAGGAAAGUCCGGACACCAACAAGUACCGCGCUCCCCGAUUCGGUUCAGCCGGCGAAGGGGAGGCUUGGUAAGAGGAAUCUUGCCAUGACAGACAGUGCAACAGAAAACAAACAGCCUCCAGCGCUCCGCGUUGGCGGUGAUGGUGAAAAGGUGAGGUAAGAGCUCACCGCUCCAAGGGCGACUGAGGAGGCACGGCAAACCUCGCGGGGUGCAAGUUCAUGCAGAUGGUAUGCGCCGCUUGUCGCCACGCCAUCGGGUGGAACGCGACAGACAAAUGAUUACCCUCGACAAAAUCCGGCUUACAGGCUUUCCUGUUUG